CACUCCUGCGGGAGGCAGCAGUGGGGAAUAUUGGACAAUGGGCGCAAGCCUGAUCCAGCCAUGCCGCGUGAGUGAUGAAGGCCCUAGGGUUGUAAAGCUCUUUCACCGGUGAAGAUAAUGACGGUAACCGGAGAAGAAGCCCCGGCUAACUUCGUGCCAGCAGCCGCGGUAAUACGAAGGGGGCUAGCGUUGUUCGGAUUUACUGGGCGUAAAGCGCACGUAGGCGGACUAUUAAGUCAGGGGUGAAAUCCCGGGGCUCAACCCCGGAACUGCCUUUGAUACUGGUAGUCUUGAGUUCGAGAGAGGUGAGUGGAAUUCCGAGUGUAGAGGUGAAAUUCGUAGAUAUUCGGAGGAACACCAGUGGCGAAGGCGGCUCACUGGCUCGAUACUGACGCUGAGGUGCGAAAGCGUGGGGAGCAAACAGGAUUAGAAACCCUAGUAGUCCCAUG
Molecule: ribosomal RNA, 449 nt
Filed under: uncultured organism
Description: partial 16S ribosomal RNA
Rfam family: Bacterial small subunit ribosomal RNA
Source: RNAcentral